GCAGCGGGCGUGGAAAAAUCCUACCACAACUAUUAAUCAUCCGGGGCGGACGUGGGCAGCAUCCCACUCCCACACGAGCCUUUGUCUCCUCAAACUACAACUUGAGCGGUGUCAGGCUGUCAUCGGGAUUAUUUGGCUCAACAUGACCACGCACUGAAGAGAAGCCCACGUUGCCUUUCGCCACUGCACCUGAACUCUCCUGUGACCCGGGCAGAGAAGUAUAGAGUCGAGUGGGAAGUUAUUUUGAGUUGAGAGACCAGGAAGAAGAUGGCAACCAAAGGGCCUCCAGAUGGUAUAAUAUUUUAUUUAUAAUUUUGUUCCACGAUUGAGAAAAAGAGUUUAAGAAUCAACAGUUUCUGCAUAAAAUAAAUGUUUCCGAGCAAUUCACACAAACGAGGGCUCCUCAUCAGUGUCAGGAGUUGGAGGCACAGACCUCUGGAGAAUGGCCAGACGGCGCUCCAUAUCUACCCACAAUGUUGACACUCGGAGCUCUUAACAGCCAGGCUUGGGUUACCGAUACACUCAGCCGAAGAUAACUCUUUCUGCGAGGUUUACACCGGCCAACAUCAAGGCUAAUGCGAAAUUCAACGCCGUAAACUGCCUGGAGCCAUCUCUCAUGGGCGUAGAGCACCGGGACGGACUACGACACGGUCAUUAUACGUACUCAGGUUGUUGUAAUAAAGCAGUUUGAAUUGUCA
Long non-coding RNA from Betta splendens (Siamese fighting fish), 698 nucleotides. RefSeq lists it as uncharacterized. The record is from RefSeq and is a predicted model, not a curated record. Lineage: Eukaryota; Metazoa; Chordata; Actinopteri; Anabantiformes; Osphronemidae. The transcript is spliced from 2 exons.